UCUCCUGGAAACGGGUGGUAAUGCCGGAUGCUCCGACUCCUCGCAUGGGGUGUCGGGAAAGAUUUCAUCGGUAUGGGAUGGGGUCGCGUCCUAUCAGGUAGUCGGCGGGGUAACGGCCCACCGAGCCUACGACGGGUAGCCGGCCUGAGAGGGCGACCGGCCACAUUGGGACUGAGAUACGGCCCAGACUCCUACGGGAGGCAGCAGUGGGGAAUAUUGCACAAUGGGCGCAAGCCUGAUGCAGCGACGCCGCGUGCGGGAUGACGGCCUUCGGGUUGUAAACCGCUUUUGAUCGGGAGCAAGCCUUCGGGUGAGUGUACCUUUCGAAUAAGCACCGGCUAACUACGUGCCAGCAGCCGCGGUAAUACGUAGGGUGCAAGCGUUAUCCGGAAUUAUUGGGCGUAAAGGGCUCGUAGGCGGUUCGUCGCGUCCGGUGUGAAAGUCCAUCGCUUAACGGUGGAUCUGCGCCGGGUACGGGCGGGCUGGAGUGCGGUAGGGGAGACUGGAAUUCCCGGUGUAACGGUGGAAUGUGUAGAUAUCG
RNAcentral lists this ribosomal RNA (541 nucleotides) under Bifidobacterium pseudocatenulatum. RNAcentral's name for it is "bacterial SSU rRNA". It matches the Rfam family "Bacterial small subunit ribosomal RNA", at positions 146 to 699 of the family's 1533-position model. Lineage: Bacteria; Bacillati; Actinomycetota; Actinomycetes; Bifidobacteriales; Bifidobacteriaceae. The record is from RNAcentral.